This is a long non-coding RNA of Ananas comosus (pineapple), 1097 nucleotides long. RefSeq lists it as uncharacterized. The record is from RefSeq and is a predicted model, not a curated record. NCBI's taxonomy places the organism in Eukaryota, Viridiplantae, Streptophyta, Magnoliopsida, Poales, Bromeliaceae. The transcript is spliced from 2 exons.
CCUUAUCACUUGCUCUCUACAAUGUUUGGCCAAAAUGAGAUCUAGAUCCUUACAGGAUCUGUCCUCGUCAAUAUCUCACUUUGAGCUAAUGCAUUAAAAUUCAAUUUCUAACAGUUUAUUUAACUCAUUAUUCACUUUAUGUCACAAUUAACACUAUAUAGGAACCUUCAACCUCCUCCUACCUCCAUCCACUCUUUUUAUUACUCAUUGAUUCCCUUACUUUUCUUCUUCUUCUUCUUCUUCUUCUCCUUCUCCUCCUUAUAUUCAUCUAUAUAUACUUUAAUUCUAGGCUUUUUGGAGAAGCGAUUUGCAGCUUCGGCUUGUGCUCUUCUCACCUGUGGCUUGACAUUAGGCUCAGAAGGUAUGGUGCAGCCAAGGAUGACUUGCCGACGCUUCAAUUACUAGAGUUUUCAUUCGAAAAUUCUAGUGAAAUCUAAAAAUAUCGGCAAGUCCGUCCUUGACUACAUCUUGCUUUCUGCUCCUCAUGUUUGGCUUGUGGUGAUAACAAAUGUUUGUCUUUAACAAACUUUUGGAGUUCUUUAAGUGCUAAACUGAUAUCUCGAACUUUUGGAAUCAAUGGCUAGCGCCAACGAUCCGACAAAAACAUCAAAGUUUACAACUGCUUCAGCAAGGACAAAGCGGCCAGACCCUGGCUAAGAGGAGAAGCUUUCCCAAUCUCUCCUUAAUUUAUGCUUUAUUUUUCUAACUUUUUUUUUUUUUUUUUUCCCGCAGAUAGAUCUUUUUCUCCUAUGGAUCAAACUUGCUCAUAGAUAUGUUCUCAUCAGAUGUUCAGUUAAUAUUGUUGUUUAUUGAUUUGACUCUUAUAGGAAAUCUUUACAAUAUUUCUUAGAUCAAUUGUUCAUUCAUACGUUAAUUCCCAGCAGUUCAUUUUGUUGCUUUUUUUUUUUUUUUGUGGCUAAAAAUCUUAAACAGAAGAUCUUCAUGUAUCAGUCUUAUCAGAUCAUCACUGGAAAAGUGCUUUUACCAUCAUUGGGACUAUAACUUUGCCAGUAUAUUUGAUCAUUGAUCUCAUGUUCCCUUGCUGUAGUACACUAGGUACUGUUUUUUGUUUUAUGCCAUGAGACUGAUUCAUCAGA